Molecule: ribosomal RNA, 492 nt
Filed under: uncultured bacterium
Lineage: Bacteria
Description: partial 16S ribosomal RNA
Rfam family: Bacterial small subunit ribosomal RNA
Source: RNAcentral
AGUGAACGCUGGCGGUAGGCCUAACACAUGCAAGUCGAACGGCAGCACAGUAAGAGCUUGCUCUUACGGGUGGCGAGUGGCGGACGGGUGAGGAAUACAUCGGAAUCUACUUUUUCGUGGGGGAUAACGUAGGGAAACUUACGCUAAUACCGCAUACGACCUACGGGUGAAAGCAGGGGAUCUUCGGACCUUGCGCGAUUGAAUGAGCCGAUGUCGGAUUAGCUGGUUGGCGGGGUAAAGGCCCACCAAGGCGACGAUCCGUAGCUGGUCUGAGAGGAUGAUCAGCCACACUGGAACUGAGACACGGUCCAGACUCCUACGGGAGGCAGCAGUGGGGAAUAUUGGACAAUGGGCGCAAGCCUGAUCCAGCCAUACCGCGUGGGUGAAGAAGGCCUUCGGGUUGUAAAGCCCUUUUGUUGGAAAAGAAAAGCAGCAGGUUAAUACCCCGCUGUUCUGACGGUACCCAAAGAAUAAGCACCGGCUAACUUCGUG